CAGCCGCCGCGGGAAUACGAAGGGUGCAAGCGUUAAUCGGAUUUACUGGGCGUAAAGCGUGCGUAGGCGGCUUCUUAAGUCGGAUGUGAAAUCCCUGAGCUUAACUUAGGAAUUGCAUUCGAUACUGGGAAGCUAGAGUAUGGGAGAGGAUGGUAGAAUUCCAGGUGUAGCGGUGAAAUGCGUAGAGAUCUGGAGGAAUACCGAUGGCGAAGGCAGCCAUCUGGCCUAAUACUGACGCUGAGGUACGAAAGCAUGGGGAGCAAACAGGAUUAGAUACCCGUGUAGUCCCUGUCUCUUAUAA
Molecule: ribosomal RNA, 301 nt
Filed under: uncultured bacterium
Lineage: Bacteria
Description: partial 16S ribosomal RNA
Rfam family: Bacterial small subunit ribosomal RNA
Source: RNAcentral